Long non-coding RNA from Cottoperca gobio, 447 nucleotides. RefSeq lists it as uncharacterized. The transcript has 3 exons. NCBI's taxonomy places the organism in Eukaryota, Metazoa, Chordata, Actinopteri, Perciformes, Bovichtidae. The record is from RefSeq and is a predicted model, not a curated record.
GGGUCGGAAGUGUCUGAAGUAUCAAAUGAAGGACUCAACUACCAUAUAUCAGUAUUGUAUUAAUAUUACUGGUUGGUCAAGUGAUUCAGAUGUUGCUCAGUGGACACGCUUUCACGCGGAUUACAACAACAACCCAACAAAAAGCAUCUGAAAAGCGAAUAUCUCCUCACAGUCCGCCAGCUGGACUUCUGUGUGUGCUCGUGCACAGAUGAGGGGGAAAGGGAAUGACCCCGAUUGGCUGUUCAGUUUAAGCGAAUCGAUUGCACGAGGAGAGAAACGGACGUGAGGAAAACAAACGACUAAAGUCAAGAUGUCUCUGACUAAAAAGGUCCAGUCCCAAAAGAUCCACACUGCGCAGCACUGCGAGCUCUCAUCAUGUAUAAUGGCCUUAGCAGCUAAAUGAUUUCACAAUCUUAUCUGGGCCGCUAAUAAACCUGCCAGAGUUCA